CCCUUAGAUGCUCUGGGCCGCACGCGUGCUACACUGAGUGGAUCAGCGGGUCAGGUUGCGCGAAAGUGUUUCCUAAUCUUUAAAUCCGCUCGUGAUGGGGAUUGACGGUUGCAGUUUUCCGUCAUGAACGAGGAAUACCUUGUAAGCGCGGGUCAUCAUCCCGCGCUGAAUACGUCCCUGCCCUUUGUACACACCGCCCGUCGCUCCUACCGAUUGAGUGGUCCGGUGAGGCUUUGGGAUCUGAGCGGAAAGAGCGUUUCGCUGUUUCUGCCCGGAAAACUCAGUCGAACCUUAUCAUUUAGAGGAAGGAGAAGUCGUAACA
Molecule: ribosomal RNA, 322 nt
Filed under: uncultured eukaryote
Lineage: Eukaryota
Description: partial 18S ribosomal RNA
Rfam family: Eukaryotic small subunit ribosomal RNA
Source: RNAcentral